This 85-nucleotide transfer RNA is filed under the name Chloroflexota bacterium. Its description in RNAcentral is "Chloroflexi bacterium tRNA-Leu". It matches the Rfam family "tRNA". Rfam says of the family: Transfer RNA (tRNA) molecules are approximately 80 nucleotides in length. Their secondary structure includes four short double-helical elements and three loops (D, anti-codon, and T loops). Lineage: Bacteria; Bacillati; Chloroflexota. The record is from RNAcentral.
GCCGGGGUGGCGGAAUGGUAGACGCGGCGGACUUAAAAUCCGCUAUCUUUACGAUGUGUGGGUUCGAAUCCCUCCUCCGGCACCA